Molecule: non-coding RNA, 1238 nt
Organism: Coturnix japonica (Japanese quail)
Lineage: Eukaryota; Metazoa; Chordata; Aves; Galliformes; Phasianidae
Source: RefSeq, a predicted model, not a curated record
GGCAUUGGGUUCUGCAACUCCUCAGCUGUUGUUCCAUCCUCUGGAAAGGUGUCACCGUGUUGAUUUAUAAACAUAAGGAACCAAACGCCUCUUGCAGACCUGCUGGGAGCUGUGAAGCAUGGAAUUAGCUACAGUCCCCAUCUCCGGGGCAUCUCCGGCAUCAGCAGAGGGAGGAUAUUAACCUGAAAUGAGACAUUUUUCACUUCACUUGAAUCUCUUCUAAACGUACCAGACAAUCUGGCCUCAGUACUCAGGGAGAAGGAUGGCACCCGACUGCCUCCAUCACCAAGGUAACAUACGUCUGGGCAACCGGCAUAUGAAAGUCACUCUUCAGAACUAAACACAACUAAGAUUAGCUAUAAGGAAGGGAAGGAUCUAUUUUCACUUCUGAGAAAAAAUAUUUUCAGCUAUCAGACAGCUUUCUUUCUGGAGGACAGAUCUCAUCCUUCUUGAUCUCCAAGAUCUGAGGAAGGUACAUGACUGCUGCAGACAACGAAUGGCUUUUUUCUUUAGAACACCUUUGACAUACCUACACCAUUUCUCUACACGGAAAUACUUUGCAAAAUGGGUGUUCCCUGGAGACUGCCAUUUAUCUUAGUAAAAGAUGUAAUAGUGAAGACUUGAAACUGGUAUCCCUUUCCACAAGGACUGGGGGUGGACAUCUCACCCUAAGUCCCACAGCACAACAAGGUUGGAAUCUUGCUCAGGGUCACUUGGGCUGCCAAGUCUGAGCACUCAGAGGUGACACAAGAACCACAGAGGAUGCUGGGCAUGAGCUGAAAGACAUGCUACAAAACUCCAUGGCUUCGGAAAGUUUGGGAGGGAAGAAGUAGAAGAAAAGGAUAGGACAAAACUACACAGUUGACAAGGAAUUCUAGUAUAUCCAAAAUAUUUUCAUGCUUUGAGUGAUACGAACAGAUAGAUUUUUUCAUUUAAUGAAAUUGUUUCUCUGUUUUUUUUCCAGCUGCCUUUCCUAACUGCUUGUUUACAGGCUGAAUUCCACUGUAAAAACAUCAGGCUAGAGCACUUAAAGACACCAAAUAAUGCUUCUGAGAACAGGUAGCUUUACAGAGUCCAGAAGGAAAUAGCUGAAGACUAAAAUGUUUGGUUUAUUCUUCAAGAGUGGGGCAUAACAAAAACAGAUGGAAACAAUUUGGAUAGCAAACUUCUUAUAUACAUCUCAGCAUCUCUGUAACCUCCGCGUUCACCUUGAGUACAAAUUGCCCCAGCAACUUGCA